CAGACCCGAAGAGAAGCCGCGACUUCUUUGGCCGUACGAAUUCUCAGGAGUUUAUAUUUGUGUUAAGGGCUUAUGAAUAAUCCUCCAUGUGGGCUGGUCAGGAACGUAGCUGAGUUUCAGGAAGAGAUCAGGCAAAGUAGUUGACAAAAGCAACCUAUAACUUCCGCCCGGUCCCACGUAUAGCCCAGUGAACCAGCAUGACUUCUCUCCAGCAUCCCUCAGCCUGUAAGCCUAAUCCCCAAAAUAAAUUAAUGGACUUAAACGUCACUCGACCUGCCCACACGACAAGAAAUCAAUCCUGACACACGGCCCAGGACUCUGUUUGGGUUGAGUUGGCAUUUGGAUCUAAAUAUGGAUGCCCACAGAGACUGCAGACCUUACAACAACAGAAACUGGUCUGAACUUGUAAUACUUGAAAAAAAUUCCUGACAUCGUGUUUGGGGGCUGGGGACGGUGACUGGAUGGCAGCAGAGGAUUAGAGGAGGCAGCAGGCAGCGUGCCAUAUGGCCCGGUCUAAUCUGGGCCUGUGACAUCACUGAUGCGAGGGGAGGCCCACCAUCCGUUCCUGAGCCCACGUCUCGCUGGACGGGCCCAUUGUCAGCUGUAAACAAUAACACCGUACCCAGCUCCACAGGUGCUUCCUGGCUGGAAGACAGAGGCUGCAGAGGAUGAUGCCGUUUCCCAACAAAGCCCACAUUACUCACCUAGGCUGACCAAUGAGUGAAGCAGAUUGGAAUUUUAUCAGAAUCACUCAAGACGGAGAAGAAGCUGGGAAUCACAGCUCAAAAUGAAAACAGAGGCAGUGAGUCUGUGCCACAGAAUUGAUACAUCGCAAUAUGUAAAUAAAGGUUAUUUUUGUACCAUUUCCUGGAAUGCUGUUAAACUGUGCGUAGGCGCAAAAGUCCUAAUAUGUAAAGAGUCUCAAAAUGUAGUUGAAAAUAAGUGAUGUGAAAUUUUUUUUUUAUCAAACCAUUUCUACAUGAAGUUUGUUAAAGUUGUCUAAAGAUGAUCAUACAGCAGGUUUUCUCUCCAAACACAAAUGAUCAGCUGAUUAUGUUUUACCUUGUGGUUGUCUCAGCAGUACAUAUUUUAAGUAUUUUGCUUGUAGGUUAGUCAUUUUAAUCAUUCACCUUUUUAAAUUUUGCUCCUAUGACUUGUAGGAGGGAAAGCAAAAAAAGGCUUGUUACAAACUCUGGGAUUUCAAGGAAUACAGCCAAUAUUAACUUUGAAGCCCGAUUCUAACAUGAACAUGGUGGAAAACACAAAAAUAUUGCUCACACAAACACAACAGAUAAUAGAACAGGGAGCCAUUUUCAGCACAUCAGAAAACACAAAACGGCAGCACCAGAAAAAGCUCAAGAAUGAAAACGAAAUGUCAGCAAACAAAAAUACGACGCCGCAACUCACAGAAUAUAUUAUCUCAAUAUUGAAAGGAAACAUGUAUUGUAAACAAAAGUAAAACAAGAAAGA
This is a long non-coding RNA of Poecilia latipinna (sailfin molly), 1470 nucleotides long. RefSeq lists it as uncharacterized. NCBI's taxonomy places the organism in Eukaryota, Metazoa, Chordata, Actinopteri, Cyprinodontiformes, Poeciliidae. The record is from RefSeq and is a predicted model, not a curated record. The transcript has 3 exons.